UCGGGGAGGAUUAAACAGCAGAAAUGGAUUCCGGCUUGUUCCGGAGGCUGGAGACCCCAUCGAGCUUCAUUUGGUGCCUGGUGAGCACCUUCCCCUUAGCAUGCGGAUGGCUGCCUGCUUGAGGCCUCUCACAGGGUCCUUCCCCUGAGCCUGUGCAGACACUGAGAGCUCUGGAGUCUGUUUCUCUUCUGGCGGGAUUUACUGAACUGGAUGCAGUGACCAUGUACCUCUGAUUGUGGAGACACCUGGUCAACAUUCAGACUCCUGAGCCCAGGUUCCUAGAUUCACCAGCCUGAAAUUUCUGGGCAUGGUAUCCAGAAACAUGCAUUUACACAAGUGGCACACUGAGACCUGAAGUCGCUCCACUUAGACCUUCCCGUCACCUGAUGCCAGAUCUCUUAAUGGGGUCCCGGGAUGUUCUUCAUGGAAUGUGAGGCCUCAAGGCAUCUUCGAGUGUGGGAGGCCGCCCGGCCCGAGAGCUAAGCAUCCCCUCUCAGCCUCGAGUAAAGGGGGUGUGGGACCGGCAUCGCACACCAUGCACUGAGCCAGGAAAGUGGCCUUCACCUUGGCUAGGAAGACGUUUGCUCCAGCCCUGGACUUGAGCGUUACCCAGCGGGGGACCGGGCAAAACCCCUUUGAAGCCUUAUCCCCUGCCUCAUGUGGUGUGGAAUAUUCUACUGAACGUCCUCGGUGGUCUCUUCCCUAUAAAUAAAGCGAUUCUGGGUGAA
Non-coding RNA from Ictidomys tridecemlineatus (thirteen-lined ground squirrel), 728 nucleotides. The record is from RefSeq and is a predicted model, not a curated record. Lineage: Eukaryota; Metazoa; Chordata; Mammalia; Rodentia; Sciuridae.